This 253-nucleotide ribosomal RNA is filed under the name uncultured bacterium. Its description in RNAcentral is "partial 16S ribosomal RNA". It matches the Rfam family "Bacterial small subunit ribosomal RNA", at positions 524 to 776 of the family's 1533-position model. The record is from RNAcentral.
UACAGAGGUCUCGAGCGUUAGGCGGAAUCACUGGGCGUAAAGCGUCUGUAGGUGGUCAAAUAAGUCAACUGUUAAAUCUUGAGGCUCAACCUCAAAAUCGCAGUCGAAACUAUUCGACUAGAGUAUAGUAGGGGUAAAGGGAAUUUCCAGUGGAGCGGUGAAAUGCGUAGAGAUUGGAAAGAACACCGAUGGCGAAGGCACUUUACUGGGCUAUUACUAACACUGAGAGACGAAAGCUAGGGUAGCAAAUGGG